GUGGGGUGAGAAGCAUGCUCACUCAACCAAUCACUUGGGGAAGGUCUGAGACAAGAGCAUCACUGCCACAGGGUAUCACCGGAUCUGGGUGAUGAGUACACGAGAGUAGAGCCAUUGUGAGUUGUCUUUACAGGAGAAACCAGCCAGUGCAGCUCUCCAGCACUACUGUGGAUGUGACCUCACUGGUUUGGAAACACUCAGGGCUGCAUAUGAGUGCAAUGUGUGAGUUGGAGUACACCUCCAGAACCCAAUUCAGACACUCUCUGCCCAC
RNAcentral lists this RNase P RNA (271 nucleotides) under Oncorhynchus tshawytscha (Chinook salmon). RNAcentral's name for it is "Nuclear RNase P". It matches the Rfam family "Nuclear RNase P". From Rfam's summary of the family: Ribonuclease P (RNase P) is a ubiquitous endoribonuclease, found in archaea, bacteria and eukarya as well as chloroplasts and mitochondria. Its best characterised activity is the generation of mature 5'-ends of tRNAs by cleaving the 5'-leader elements of precursor-tRNAs. The record is from Rfam by way of RNAcentral. Lineage: Eukaryota; Metazoa; Chordata; Actinopteri; Salmoniformes; Salmonidae.